This 301-nucleotide ribosomal RNA is filed under the name uncultured bacterium. Its description in RNAcentral is "partial 16S ribosomal RNA". It matches the Rfam family "Bacterial small subunit ribosomal RNA", at positions 509 to 808 of the family's 1533-position model. The record is from RNAcentral.
CAGUCGCCACGGUAUACGGAGGGUGCAAGCGUUAAUCGGAAUUACUGGGCGUAAAGCGCACGCAGGCGGUCUGACAAGUCAGAUGUGAAAUCCCCGGGCUUAACCUGGGAACUGCAUUUGAAACUGUCAGGCUGGAGUCUUGUAGAGGGGGGUGGAAUUCCAGGUGUAGCGGUGAAAUGCGUAGAGAUCUGGAGGAAUACCGGUGGCGAAGGCGGCCCCCUGGACAAAGACUGACGCUCAGGUGCGAAAGCGUGGGGAGCAAACAGGAUUAGAUACCCCUGUAGUCCCUGUCUCUUAUACC